This 157-nucleotide ribosomal RNA is filed under the name Glomus sp. RNAcentral describes it as "partial large subunit ribosomal RNA". The record is from RNAcentral. Lineage: Eukaryota; Fungi; Glomeromycota; Glomeromycetes; Glomerales; Glomeraceae.
AAACGAUUGAAGUCAGUCGUACCGGUGGGUAAUCAGCCUUUUGGGUGUGAUUAUGUGGAGCGUGAGGAGCUAAUCACCUUCAUGCCUGCAUAUUCGUGCACUUUGGGUGUACUUGCUCGUGUGGUAGGUUAACAUCAAUUUUGGUCGUCAUAAAAUG